UGUACCUACGGGGGGCAGCAGUGAGGAAUAUUGGUCAAUGGGCGGAAGCCUGAACCAGCCAAGUCGCGUGAGGGAUUAAGGCCCUAUGGGUCGUAAACCUCUUUUGUCAGGGAGCAAGGCCUCUCACGUGUGGGAGGUUGGAGAGUACCUGAAGAAAAAGCAUCGGCUAACUCCGUGCCAGCAGCCGCGGUAAUACGGAGGAUGCGAGCGUUAUCCGGAUUUAUUGGGUUUAAAGGGUGCGCAGGCGGUCUGUUAAGUCAGCGGUCAAAGCCCGGGGCUCAACCCCGGCCCGCCGCUGAAACUGG
Molecule: ribosomal RNA, 305 nt
Filed under: uncultured bacterium
Lineage: Bacteria
Description: bacterial SSU rRNA
Rfam family: Bacterial small subunit ribosomal RNA
Source: RNAcentral